GGACCUACACAAGCGGUGGAUCACGUGGCUUAAUUCGACAACAAGCGAGGAACCUUACCAGGGCUUGACAAACUAUUGAAGGCGCUUUGAAAAAUGCGCUUACCCGCAAGGGACAAUAGUCCAGGUGCUGCAUGGUUGUCGUCAGCAGGUGGCUUGAGUUGCUCCCUUAAAUGGGGUAACCUGCGCAACCCUUGUCCUAUGUUUUAUAUGUCAUAGGAGACUGCCUAGGACGACUAGGAGGAAGGUGAGGAUGACGCCAAAUCAGCAUGGCCUUUUGAUGCCCUGGGCUGCACACGUGAUACAAUGGAGCCGACAAUGGGAAGCGAAAGAGUAAUCUGGAGCUAAUCCUAUCAAACGGCCCCCCAAUACGGAUUGAGGUCUGAAACCCGACCUCAUGAAGCCGGAAUCGCUAGUAACCGCAGAUCAGCCAUGCUGCGGUGAAUAUGUCCCUGGGUCUU
RNAcentral lists this ribosomal RNA (458 nucleotides) under uncultured bacterium. RNAcentral describes it as "bacterial SSU rRNA". It matches the Rfam family "Bacterial small subunit ribosomal RNA", at positions 917 to 1382 of the family's 1533-position model. The record is from RNAcentral.